GGUGAUUAUAACUCAGUUGGUUAGAGUGUUAGGUUGUGGUCCUAAAAACACGGGUUCAAAUCCCGUUAUUCACC
This 74-nucleotide transfer RNA is filed under the name Odontella aurita. Its description in RNAcentral is "tRNA-His". It matches the Rfam family "tRNA". Rfam says of the family: Transfer RNA (tRNA) molecules are approximately 80 nucleotides in length. Their secondary structure includes four short double-helical elements and three loops (D, anti-codon, and T loops). The record is from RNAcentral. Lineage: Eukaryota; Bacillariophyta; Thalassiosirophyceae; Eupodiscales; Odontellaceae.